This 1056-nucleotide ribosomal RNA is filed under the name uncultured Burkholderia sp. RNAcentral's name for it is "bacterial SSU rRNA". It matches the Rfam family "Bacterial small subunit ribosomal RNA", at positions 338 to 1394 of the family's 1533-position model. The record is from RNAcentral. Lineage: Bacteria; Pseudomonadati; Pseudomonadota; Betaproteobacteria; Burkholderiales; Burkholderiaceae.
CCUACGGGAGGCAGCAGUGGGCAAUUUUGGACAAUGGGCGAAAGCCUGAUCCAGCUAUGCCGCGUGUGAAGAAGGCCUUCGGGUUGUAAAGCACUUUUGUCCGGAAAGAAAUCCUUGGCUCUAAUACAGUCGGGGGAUGACGGUACCGGAAGAAUAAGCACCGGCUAACUACGUGCCAGCAGCCGCGGUAAUACGUAGGGUGCGAGCGUUAAUCGGAAUUACUGGGCGUAAAGCGUGCGCAGGCGGUUUGCUAAGACCGAUGUGAAAUCCCCGGGCUCAACCUGGGAACUGCAUUGGUGACUGGCAGGCUAGAGUAUGGCAGAGGGGGGUAGAAUUCCACGUGUAGCAGUGAAAUGCGUAGAGAUGUGGAGGAAUACCGAUGGCGAAGGCAGCCCCCUGGGCCAAUACUGACGCUCAUGCACGAAAGCGUGGGGAGCAAACAGGGUUAGAUACCCUGGUAGUCCACGCCCUAAACGAUGUCAACUAGUUGUUGGGGAUUCAUUUCCUUAGUAACGUAGCUAACGCGUGAAGUUGACCGCCUGGGGAGUACGGUCGCAAGAUUAAAACUCAAAGGAAUUGACGGGGACCCGCACAAGCGGUGGAUGAUGUGGAUUAAUUCGAUGCAACGCGAAAAACCUUACCUACCCUUGACAUGGUCGGAAUCCCGCUGAGAGGUGGGAGUGCUCGAAAGAGAACCGGCGCACAGGUGCUGCAUGGCUGUCGUCAGCUCGUGUCGUGAGAUGUUGGGUUAAGUCCCGCAACGAGCGCAACCCUUGUCCUUAGUUGCUACGCAAGAGCACUCUAAGGAGACUGCCGGUGACAAACCGGAGGAAGGUGGGGAUGACGUCAAGUCCUCAUGGCCCUUAUGGGUAGGGCUUCACACGUCAUACAAUGGUCGGAACAGAGGGUUGCCAACCCGCGAGGGGGAGCUAAUCCCAGAAAACCGAUCGUAGUCCGGAUUGCACUCUGCAACUCGAGUGCAUGAAGCUGGAAUCGCUAGUAAUCGCGGAUCAGCAUGCCGCGGUGAAUACGUUCCCGGGCCUUGUACACACCGCC